Molecule: ribosomal RNA, 473 nt
Filed under: uncultured bacterium
Lineage: Bacteria
Description: bacterial SSU rRNA
Rfam family: Bacterial small subunit ribosomal RNA
Source: RNAcentral
ACUCCUACGGGAGGCAGCAGUGGGGAAUAUUGCACAAUGGGCGCAAGCCUGAUGCAGCCAUGCCGCGUGUGUGAAGAAGGCCUUCGGGUUGUAAAGCACUUUCAGUAGGGAGGAAGGUAGUGUAGUUAACACCUGCAUUAUUUGACGUUACCUACAGAAGAAGCACCGGCUAACUCCGUGCCAGCAGCCGCGGUAAUACGGAGGGUGCGAGCGUUAAUCGGAAUUACUGGGCGUAAAGCGCAUGCAGGCGGCCUGUUAAGUCAGAUGUGAAAGCCCGGGGCUUAACCUCGGAAUUGCAUUUGAAACUGGCAGGCUAGAGUCUUGUAGAGGGGGGUAGAAUUUCAGGUGUAGCGGUGAAAUGCGUAGAGAUCUGAAGGAAUAUCAGUGGCGAAGGCGGCCCCCUGGACAAAGACUGACGCUCAGAUGCGAAAGCGUGGGGAGCAAACAGGAUUAGAUACCCUGGUAGGAUAGCG